This 2899-nucleotide ribosomal RNA is filed under the name Klebsiella pneumoniae. RNAcentral's name for it is "bacterial LSU rRNA". It matches the Rfam family "Bacterial large subunit ribosomal RNA". The record is from RNAcentral. Lineage: Bacteria; Pseudomonadati; Pseudomonadota; Gammaproteobacteria; Enterobacterales; Enterobacteriaceae.
UUAAGCGACUAAGCGUACACGGUGGAUGCCCUGGCAGUCAGAGGCGAUGAAGGACGUGCUAAUCUGCGAAAAGCGUCGGUAAGGUGAUAUGAACCGUUAUAACCGGCGAUGUCCGAAUGGGGAAACCCAGUGCAAUUCGUUGCACUAUCGUUAACUGAAUACAUAGGUUAACGAGGCGAACCGGGGGAACUGAAACAUCUAAGUACCCCGAGGAAAAGAAAUCAACCGAGAUUCCCCCAGUAGCGGCGAGCGAACGGGGAGCAGCCCAGAGUCUGAAUCAGCUUGUGUGUUAGUGGAACGGUCUGGAAAGUCCGACGGUACAGGGUGAUAGUCCCGUACACCAAAAUGCACAGGCUGUGAACUCGAAGAGUAGGGCGGGACACGUGGUAUCCUGUCUGAAUAUGGGGGGACCAUCCUCCAAGGCUAAAUACUCCUGACUGACCGAUAGUGAACCAGUACCGUGAGGGAAAGGCGAAAAGAACCCCGGCGAGGGGAGUGAAAAAGAACCUGAAACCGUGUACGUACAAGCAGUGGGAGCACCUUCGGGUGUGACUGCGUACCUUUUGUAUAAUGGGUCAGCGACUUAUAUUCUGUAGCAAGGUUAACCGUAUAGGGGAGCCGCAGGGAAACCGAGUCUUAACUGGGCGUUAAGUUGCAGGGUAUAGACCCGAAACCCGGUGAUCUAGCCAUGGGCAGGUUGAAGGUUGGGUAACACUAACUGGAGGACCGAACCGACUAAUGUUGAAAAAUUAGCGGAUGACUUGUGGCUGGGGGUGAAAGGCCAAUCAAACCGGGAGAUAGCUGGUUCUCCCCGAAAGCUAUUUAGGUAGCGCCUCGUGAACUCAUCUUCGGGGGUAGAGCACUGUUUCGGCUAGGGGGUCAUCCCGACUUACCAACCCGAUGCAAACUACGAAUACCGAAGAAUGUUAUCACGGGAGACACACGGCGGGUGCUAACGUCCGUCGUGAAGAGGGAAACAACCCAGACCGCCAGCUAAGGUCCCAAAGUCAUGGUUAAGUGGGAAACGAUGUGGGAAGGCACAGACAGCCAGGAUGUUGGCUUAGAAGCAGCCAUCAUUUAAAGAAAGCGUAAUAGCUCACUGGUCGAGUCGGCCUGCGCGGAAGAUGUAACGGGGCUAAACCAUGCACCGAAGCUGCGGCAGCGACACUAUGUGUUGUUGGGUAGGGGAGCGUUCUGUAAGCCUGCGAAGGUGACCUGUGAGGGUUGCUGGAGGUAUCAGAAGUGCGAAUGCUGACAUAAGUAACGAUAAAGCGGGUGAAAAGCCCGCUCGCCGGAAGACCAAGGGUUCCUGUCCAACGUUAAUCGGGGCAGGGUGAGUCGACCCCUAAGGCGAGGCCGAAAGGCGUAGUCGAUGGGAAACAGGUUAAUAUUCCUGUACUUGGUGUUACUGCGAAGGGGGGACGGAGAAGGCUAUGUUAGCCGGGCGACGGUUGUCCCGGUUUAAGCAUGUAGGCUGAUUGUCCAGGCAAAUCCGGAUAAUCAAGGCUGAGGUGUGAUGACGAGGCACUACGGUGCUGAAGUAACAAAUGCCCUGCUUCCAGGAAAAGCCUCUAAGCAUCAGGUAACAUUAAAUCGUACCCCAAACCGACACAGGUGGUCAGGUAGAGAAUACCAAGGCGCUUGAGAGAACUCGGGUGAAGGAACUAGGCAAAAUGGUGCCGUAACUUCGGGAGAAGGCACGCUGGUGUGUAGGUGAAGUCCCUGCGGAUGGAGCUGAGACCAGUCGAAGAUACCAGCUGGCUGCAACUGUUUAUUAAAAACACAGCACUGUGCAAACACGAAAGUGGACGUAUACGGUGUGACGCCUGCCCGGUGCCGGAAGGUUAAUUGAUGGGGUUAUCCGUAAGGAGAAGCUCUUGAUCGAAGCCCCGGUAAACGGCGGCCGUAACUAUAACGGUCCUAAGGUAGCGAAAUUCCUUGUCGGGUAAGUUCCGACCUGCACGAAUGGCGUAAUGAUGGCCAGGCUGUCUCCACCCGAGACUCAGUGAAAUUGAACUCGCUGUGAAGAUGCAGUGUACCCGCGGCAAGACGGAAAGACCCCGUGAACCUUUACUAUAGCUUGACACUGAACAUUGAGCCUUGAUGUGUAGGAUAGGUGGGAGGCUUUGAAGCGUGGACGCCAGUCUGCGUGGAGCCAACCUUGAAAUACCACCCUUUAAUGUUUGAUGUUCUAACGUUGGCCCCUGACCGGGGUUGCGGACAGUGUCUGGUGGGUAGUUUGACUGGGGCGGUCUCCUCCCAAAGCGUAACGGAGGAGCACGAAGGUUAGCUAAUCCUGGUCGGACAUCAGGAGGUUAGUGCAAUGGCAUAAGCUAGCUUGACUGCGAGCGUGACGGCGCGAGCAGGUGCGAAAGCAGGUCAUAGUGAUCCGGUGGUUCUGAAUGGAAGGGCCAUCGCUCAACGGAUAAAAGGUACUCCGGGGAUAACAGGCUGAUACCGCCCAAGAGUUCAUAUCGACGGCGGUGUUUGGCACCUCGAUGUCGGCUCAUCACAUCCUGGGGCUGAAGUAGGUCCCAAGGGUAUGGCUGUUCGCCAUUUAAAGUGGUACGCGAGCUGGGUUUAGAACGUCGUGAGACAGUUCGGUCCCUAUCUGCCGUGGGCGCUGGAGAAUUGAGGGGGGCUGCUCCUAGUACGAGAGGACCGGAGUGGACGCAUCACUGGUGUUCGGGUUGUCAUGCCAAUGGCACUGCCCGGUAGCUAAAUGCGGAAGAGAUAAGUGCUGAAAGCAUCUAAGCACGAAACUUGCCCCGAGAUGAGUUCUCCCUGAGACUUUAAGUCUCCUGAAGGAACGUUGAAGACGACGACGUUGAUAGGCCGGGUGUGUAAGCGCAGCGAUGCGUUGAGCUAACCGGUACUAAUGAACCGUGAGGCUUAACCU